Long non-coding RNA from Monodelphis domestica (gray short-tailed opossum), 1267 nucleotides. RefSeq lists it as uncharacterized. The record is from RefSeq and is a predicted model, not a curated record. Lineage: Eukaryota; Metazoa; Chordata; Mammalia; Didelphimorphia; Didelphidae.
AAAAUUUUGUCUACCUCCAAGUCCACUAAAUAUGAGUGAUGUGGGUUAGAUAGACAUCUCAUCAUCUUGUUCACCAAGAUAGCAGGCUUUUGUAAUACAAAAUCUUGCUGAAAUCCAUAUGUGCUAUAACUAUGGCAUUAUCCUUUCACAUUAUUUUAGUCACCAAGUCUAGGAAAAAACUGUGGAUUUUCAUAGGAUCAUAGUCUCAUAGAGAGAAAACAGUAAAGAUGUGAGAAAUCAUGUAGUCAGACUUUCUCAUUUUACAAAUAACAGUUUUGUCAUUAUUGGUCUUAAUGAGCUCAUGCUUGCUCAUAGUGGGCGUCAUUCCUUCUAAGUGUUUACAAACCAUCCAUUUAAUCAUCCUUUGAUAAUGUUUACCAGGUUUCUACAUUAAGAUCAUUGGUCUAAUGUACAAAGUAAUCACGUUCUUCUCCUUUUGAAAAUUAAGACUAUAUUUAUCUGCCUUUCAUUCUACAGACCCUCUCUAAAGCAUCACUCUCCAUGAAUCUACAAAGAUGGUUCCACAAUCAAACCUAAGAAAAAAGGAUGAGAAUUGAAUAAAACCAAAAGGAAACCUUCUGACUUUAUGAUCAAAAAGAAGGAGGAGCCAGAUGUGACAGAGACCCAGGAACCACAUAGAGUUCACUAUAUUAUCCCAAAUGAUAGCCUUGAUGCAUUCAGUCAUGAGACAUGCUGUGCACUGGAAAAGACCAAGACAAAAAAGACCAGAAUAGGACCAGCUAUAAACUCAUCACAUGCUACUCUGGAAAAGAUUCAGUUCAAAUUAAAAUCUACGGAGAAUAUUCUAGCCAGAGAAAUGGAAAGCAAUGGCUGUCAAGAAUAGGAGAGGAUUCAGCAAGCUAUGGAAAUUUGAGAAUAUCGCUGUAUCAAUUUGAAGAGUUUUCAGCAGUCUUCUUUCCAUUUACCACAGUAAAGACACAGCUUUUGUUUCCAGUGUAACCUCCAGACAGUGAGCUGGCUCUGGCAAUGCAUAUAUCAGCUUCAUCAUCUAUGUGGACAUCUCUGGAAAGUAUACUGCCAAGGAAAGACUAGUAGCCCUGUGUGACAGCUUGCUCAACCUUUCUCAGAGCUGUUUGCCUCCAUCUGCUACCCAGGUCUCACCUGUGGCUCCAAGAAGGUUUGAACUUCAAAGUUUCUGUGCAGCACUCAUCUAUACAUCAUGAAAUGCUUGGAAGUCCUCUAUUGUCUUACAAAUUCAUUUUUUCCCAGUUGAAUUAGUUUUUUCAGUAAACUUAUGAAAACCAUG